Molecule: ribosomal RNA, 224 nt
Filed under: Chloropicon roscoffensis
Lineage: Eukaryota; Viridiplantae; Chlorophyta; Chloropicophyceae; Chloropicales; Chloropicaceae
Description: partial Bacterial small subunit ribosomal RNA
Rfam family: Bacterial small subunit ribosomal RNA
Source: RNAcentral
GGAGCAUGUGGUUUAAUUCGAUGCAACGCGAAGAACCUUACCAAGAAUUGACAUGCUGCGAACGUUUACGAAAGUAAAAAGUCUAUUAACUUAGUUAAUAGCGCAGACACAGGUGGUGCAUGGUUGUCGUCAGCUCGUGCCGUGAGGUGUUAGGUUAAGUCCUGCAACGAGCGCAACCCUUGUCUUUAGUUAUAUUCUAGAGAGACUGCCGGUGACAAACCGGA